AGUAGGAGUUGCCCACCGAACGGCGUCGAGUGUCUGUCUGUGCAGCGGCCGCUGCAACCGAAGCGUGAGUCCCCACCCAGCUUUGUCUUCAAUCAUCAUUUCUACAGGAAGCCGCGCAUCUCCCACUUCCUCCUCUCUCAGUAUCGGGCAGCAAGUCAGCCUUCUUGUUUGCCUCUCGCUCUACUUCAGGGCUUCCUCUAUUGCCUGCUGCUGAUGGACCUAUCUCACCUGCAUCCCCCAGCAAGAAAACUGACAGGAGCAUUAGAAGAGAUCUAGGAUUGAUGCAGGCCUUCCCAGCACGCCUUGGGGGACCACAGCAUGUCAUCCAGGCAGAUGCUGCGUGUUUCCUCCACCGUGCUGUCCCAACCGUGACCGGUGAUACCCUCUAGAUGUGAACCACAAUAGACCCUUCCUGCCUUAAGUUGCCUUUGUCAAGUGAAAA
Molecule: long non-coding RNA, 442 nt
Organism: Mesocricetus auratus (golden hamster)
Lineage: Eukaryota; Metazoa; Chordata; Mammalia; Rodentia; Cricetidae
Exons: 3
Source: RefSeq, a predicted model, not a curated record